UAGAGUCAUGACAGAUGGCGAUAGGACCUU
RNAcentral lists this non-coding RNA (30 nucleotides) under Rattus norvegicus (Norway rat). Lineage: Eukaryota; Metazoa; Chordata; Mammalia; Rodentia; Muridae. The record is from RNAcentral.